Molecule: unclassified non-coding RNA, 22 nt
Filed under: Arabidopsis thaliana (thale cress)
Lineage: Eukaryota; Viridiplantae; Streptophyta; Magnoliopsida; Brassicales; Brassicaceae
Source: RNAcentral
ACUGAAACCAGCGACAGCGACA